Molecule: long non-coding RNA, 473 nt
Filed under: Brassica napus (rape)
Lineage: Eukaryota; Viridiplantae; Streptophyta; Magnoliopsida; Brassicales; Brassicaceae
Description: long non-coding RNA (BNAP_LNC009501)
Source: RNAcentral
UUUCAGGGUCGUUGGUGAUUGCACUGUCCAUCCAAGUCCCGCUAUCUUAUCUUCCUUUCGCCAUGCGGCAUCAGUGCGAAUCACUAUUGUCGGCGCAGAUGAAGUGUUACUCGCAGGUGCAGUAAACGUUUGUGUAGAAGAGCCCUUCUAAUUAACUUGUGUUUGUUCCCAUUCUUUUGCUGCUUUGAUUGCUAGUGUGAGAUCCUUUGUAGGUGUAUUAGAGCUCCCGUUGAAGACAACUCUGUUGCGUUCCUUCCAUAUAGUCCAGAGGAUCCAUGGGAAGAUGGGGCUGGAUACUAGGCCAGUUGGUGGGAGGCAAGGCUUUGCGCACAGGGCGGUCCAUCUCUCUUCUAAAUCUACUAUUCCUCUAGGAUCAAACGCUGUGACAAAAGGGGCAGCUAGCCACACCUGUUGAGCAAAAGGGCAAUGAAAUAGUAGAUGAGUAAUAGAUUCAGAAGCUCCACAACGUUUAC